GACGAACGCUGGCGGCGUGCCUAAUACAUGCAAGUAGAACGCACAGUUUAUACCGUAGCUUGCUACACCAUAGACUGUGAGUUGCGAACGGGUGAGUAACGCGUAGGUAACCUGCCUGGUAGCGGGGGAUAACUAUUGGAAACGAUAGCUAAUACCGCAUAAUAUUAAUUAUUGCAUGAUAAUUGAUUGAAAGGUGCAAUUGCACCACUACCAGAUGGACCUGCGUUGUAUUAGCUAGUAGGUGAGGUAACGGCUCACCUAGGCGACGAUACAUAGCCGACCUGAGAGGGUGAUCGGCCACACUGGGACUGAGACACGGCCCAGACUCCUACGGGAGGCAGCAGUAGGGAAUCUUCGGCAAUGGACGAAAGUCUGACCGAGCAACGCCGCGUGAGUGAAGAAGGUUUUCGGAUCGUAAAGCUCUGUUGUAAGAGAAGAGCGGGUGUGAGAGGGAAAGUUCA
RNAcentral lists this ribosomal RNA (461 nucleotides) under Streptococcus gordonii. RNAcentral's name for it is "bacterial SSU rRNA". It matches the Rfam family "Bacterial small subunit ribosomal RNA", at positions 28 to 466 of the family's 1533-position model. The record is from RNAcentral. Lineage: Bacteria; Bacillati; Bacillota; Bacilli; Lactobacillales; Streptococcaceae.